This 586-nucleotide long non-coding RNA is filed under the name Prunus persica (peach). RNAcentral describes it as "long non-coding RNA (PPER_LNC001997)". The record is from RNAcentral. Lineage: Eukaryota; Viridiplantae; Streptophyta; Magnoliopsida; Rosales; Rosaceae.
UGAGUUUUGCAUUAUUUUAGGACUAUAUUUGGGAUAUAAUCCAUGACUGGACAUGGCCUUACUAUUGCACAAUUUGACCAAGUCAAAAGCCGUGUUUCGUCAACAGUCGAUGUACACUUAUACAUUUUUAUAAAGCUUAAUUACACUAAUGCCCCUGAAACUUCAAUCAAAUCCCAUUUUGCCCCCUCAAACUUAAAAUGACCCACUUUCAUUCCUUGACAGAGGUUUGGUGACCCACUUUGCCUCCUGCCAUCAACUCCAUCUAAAAAUUUGUUAACUUUGAUGACGUGGCAAGUAGAGCCUACUUGUACAUAAAUAAAAACAUAAUUAAAUAUUCUAAAAAUUAAAAAUAAAAAUAAAAACAUUUAAAAAAACCAAGAAACUAAAAAUUAAUAGCAGAGUCCAGCCCACCUUACUCUCCUCGACAAUCACCUCCCUAACCCAUUCAAUUACCACCACCACCUCAUACAACCUUUAGCUUUAUAACCUCCUUCUCUAAUUCAGUCACAAUCUCUCCCUAGCUUUAUUCUCACAUUCUCAAAGAACUCACCAACAAAUAGACAACUAGCCCAGCUUUCUAUCCCUU